This is a long non-coding RNA of Phyllopteryx taeniolatus (common seadragon), 798 nucleotides long. RefSeq lists it as uncharacterized. The transcript is spliced from 2 exons. The record is from RefSeq and is a predicted model, not a curated record. NCBI's taxonomy places the organism in Eukaryota, Metazoa, Chordata, Actinopteri, Syngnathiformes, Syngnathidae.
CGGAAACCGGAAGUAAGCGAGCGAAGCGCAUCGUAGACGUCGUAGCUAGGGUUUUCUUCAGCCUCGUGACUACGGCGAUGCUAAGCUAGUGGGGCCAAAGUAUCGGCGCAUUCCAUGUAGCUAAGCUAGUGGGGAAAGAGUCACCACAUUCCAUGUUUUUGGAUGGACGACACGCUCGGACAAUAAUAAAAUAGCAAGGAUGUCUACACAUUGUACUGCCUACUAUUUAACACACGUCAAACAAUCACAACAAGGGAACUCCGAACUAGGAAUAACCUUUCAUGGGUGUCCGGAAUUGCUGAGUCAGCACAAUUUAAAUCGCCCAUCCAAAAGAAAAGCGCGGGCCAGGACGCCCCUCCUGCGGGCACCCGGUUAAGAGGAUACCACCCUCUCUCAUGGGCUCAGGGCAAUCCGCCAGCUCCAACGAGGUACCCUGUCCAGCCACCAGAAGAAGGACACGGGGACCAAUCAGCCACCCCCUCAGCCAACCACAACCCACCACCCAGAGCACAUCACCACUGCCACUCCCCAAUCCCCCUCGGAAAGACAGAGGCCCCCGACCUGCCAACAAGGCCGACACAGGGGUCAGCUAUCACCCAGGAGGGGUAGUAGCCAGUGACCCACACCAGCUGGAGAAGUGAAUAGGUGGAGGCGCCUGAAAGACGAGACAAAGAUGGGGACCGCAAGGGCUGUCAUUGGACAGGGGUCGGGGGAGCCCAGGAGUCAUGCUAUGUGCCUUGUGACAAUUCACCCUGAAACUAUGGUAAAUAAAUAAAGUAAAUACAUUUUCAAAAACAA